ACUAAGCUUCAGCUAUAGAAAAACCGUACCGUAAACCGACACUGGUAGGCAGGGUGAGAAUCCCAAGGCGCUUGAGAGAACUCGGGUGAAGGAACUAGGCAAAAUGGCACCGUAACUUCGGGAGAAGGUGCGCCCUUUGACGUGGUCACAUGCGUGACUGAGCGUUGAAGGGUCGCAGUAACCUGGCCGCUGCGACUGUUUAUCAAAAACACAGCACUCUGCAAACACGAAAGUGGACGUAUAGGGUGUGACGCCUGCCCGGUGCUGGAAGGUUAAUUGAUGGGGUCAGCCGCAAGGCGAAGCUCUUGAUCGAAGCCCCAGUAAACGGCGGCCGUAACUAUAACGGUCCUAAGGUAGCGAAAUUCCUUGUCGGGUAAGUUCCGACCUGCACGAAUGGCGUAACGACAGCGGCGCUGUCUCCACCCGAGACUCAGUGAAAUUGAAUUCGCUGUGAAGAUGCAGCGUUCCCGCGGCAAGACGGAAAGACCCCGUGAACCUUUACUAUAGCUUUACACUGAACGUUGAGUUCUUCUGUGUAGGAUAGGUGGGAGGCUUUGAAGCGCAGACGCCAGUUUGCGUGGAGCCAACCUUGAAAUACCACCCUGAAGUGCUUGACGUUCUAACCUAGGCCCGUAAUCCGGGUCAGGGACCGUGUAUGGUGGGUAGUUUGACUGGGGCGGUCUCCUCCCAAAGAGUAACGGAGGAGCACGAAGGUACGCUCAGCGCGGUCGGACAUCGCGCACUGUGUGCAAUGGCAUAAGCGUGCUUGACUGCGAGAUCGACGGAUCAAGCAGGUACGAAAGUAGGUCAUAGUGAUCCGGUGGUUCUGUAUGGAAGGGCCAUCGCUCAACGGAUAAAAGGUACUCCGGGGAUAACAGGCUGAUACCGCCCAAGAGUUCAUAUCGACGGCGGUGUUUGGCACCUCGAUGUCGGCUCAUCACAUCCUGGGGCUGUAGCCGGUCCCAAGGGUAUGGCUGUUCGCCAUUUAAAGUGGUACGCGAGCUGGGUUCAGAACGUCGUGAGACAGUUCGGUCCCUAUCUGUCGUGGGCGUUGGAGAUUUGAGGGGGGCUGCUCCUAGUACGAGAGGACCGGAGUGGACGUUCCGCUGGUGUUCGGGUUGUCAUGCCCAUGGCAUUGCCCGGUAGCUAUGAACGGAAGUGAUAACCGCUGAAAGCAUCUAAGCGGGAAGCACGCCCCAAGAUGAGAUCUCCCGAGAGCUUGACUCUCCUUAAGGCACCAUCAAGACCAGGUGGUUGAUAGGUCAGGUGUGGAAGUGCAGCAAUGCAUGGAGCUAACUGAUACUAAUGAGCCGUGAGGCUUGAUC
This 1325-nucleotide ribosomal RNA is filed under the name metagenome. RNAcentral describes it as "bacterial LSU rRNA". It matches the Rfam family "Bacterial large subunit ribosomal RNA", at positions 1620 to 2925 of the family's 2925-position model. The record is from RNAcentral.